GGCAGCGUAGCUCAGGGGUAGAGCACGGGAAUCAUAAUCCCAUGGUCGGGGGUUCAAAUCCCUCCGCUGCUACCA
RNAcentral lists this transfer RNA (75 nucleotides) under Alphaproteobacteria bacterium. Its description in RNAcentral is "tRNA-Met". It matches the Rfam family "tRNA". From Rfam's summary of the family: Transfer RNA (tRNA) molecules are approximately 80 nucleotides in length. Their secondary structure includes four short double-helical elements and three loops (D, anti-codon, and T loops). Lineage: Bacteria; Pseudomonadati; Pseudomonadota; Alphaproteobacteria. The record is from RNAcentral.